UCCUGAAUCUGACCUGGUCCUGUCCUGAAUCUGACCUGGUGCUGUCCUGAAUCUGACCUGGUCCUGUCCUGAUUCUGACCUGGUCCUGUCCUGAAUCUGACCUGGUCCUGUCCUGAAUCUGACCUGGUCCUGUCCUGAAUCUGACCUGGUGCUGUCCUGAAUCUGACCUGGUGCUGUCCUGAAUCUGACCUGGUGCUGUCCUGAAUCUGACCUCGUGCUGUCCUGAAUCUGACCUGGUCCUGUCCUGAUUCUGACCUGGUCCUGUCCUGAAUCUGACCUGGUCCUGUCCUGAAUCUGACCUGGUGCUGUCCUGAAUCUGACCUGGUCUGGUCCUGAAUCUGACCUGGUCCUGUCCUGAAUCUAACCUGGUGCUGUCCUGAAUCUGACCUGGUGCUGUCCUGAAUCUGACCGGGUGCUGUCCUGAAUCUGACCUGGUGCUGUCCUGAAUCUGACCUGGUGCUGUCCUGAAUCUGACCUGGUGCUGUCCUGAAUCUGACCUGGUGCUGUCCUGAAUCUGACCUGGUGCUGUCCUGAAUCUGACCUGGUGCUGUCCUGAAUCUGACCUGGUGCUGUCCUGAAUCUGACCUGGUCCUGUCCUGAAUCUGACCUGGUCCUGUCCUGAAUCUGACCUGGUGCUGUCCUGAAUCUGACCUGGUGCUGUCCUGAAUCUGACCUGGUCCUGUCCUGAAUCUGACCUGGUCCUGUCCUGAAUCUGACCUGGUGCUGUCCUGAAUCUGACCUGGUCCUGUCCUGAAUCUGACCUGGUGCUGUCCUGAAUCUGACCUGGUGCUGUCCUGAAUCUGACCUGGUGCUGUCCUGAAUUUGACCUGGUCCUAUCCUAAAUCUGACUUGGUGCUGUCCUGAAACUGACCUGGUCCUGUCCUGAAUCUGACCUGGUCCUGUCCUAAUCUAACCUGGUGCUGUCCUGAAUCGGACCUGGUGCUGUCCUGAAUCUGACCUGGUCCUGUCUGAAUCUGACCUGGUCCUGAAUCUGGCCUGGUCCUGUCCUGAUUCUGAUCUGGUCCUGCCCUGAACCUGACCUGGUCCUGUCCUGAAUCUGUGUUGUCUGUUCUACUGAUGUCCUCCUCCAUCAGGUUGCUAAGGAGCAGGGGGCGGAGAUUUCAUCAGAGCACGACCCAAUCAGAGAGCCGGGCUGGUACCUGAGCAGGAAGUUGCGUCAGCGUCUGUGGGAGGAGCAUGAUGUGCAGGGCUUGACCGUGGUUCAGUUCCUGGGGGACUCUGUCCUCAUCCCUGCCGGGGCGCUGCACCAGGUGCAGAACCUUCACAGUUGUGUCCAGGUGAUAAAUGACUUUGUGUCUCCAGAGCAUGUAUUCCACUCCUUCCACCUGACACAGGAACUGAGAUCCUCAGAGAAGAGCCCAACUACGAAGAUAAACUACAGGUAAAGAACAUCUUGUUCCACUCUGUGAAGGAUGCAUUGACGUCGCUGAGGAGGUACAGCCAGGAGGAGGAAGAGAACUCCUGACCCGUAGUCUCUCUGGCUCCUCCCUAUCUGGCUCCUCCCUCUCUGGCGCCACCCUCUCUGGCGCCAACCUCUCUGAGACAUCUUCCUUCAGCCUGGAACAGAUAUAUACACACUGACACUAACCACAACAGCAGAACACACUACAACACACUAAAACUACAUGUUACUGACCAGCAUCGCUACACAGCAUCAGGAUACUGACCAGCAUCAGGAUACUGACCACAACAGCAUCAAUACCCAGCAUCAGGAUACUAACCACAGCAGCAUCAGGAUACUGACCACAGCAGCAUCAGGAUACUGACCACAGCAGCAUCAGGAUACUGACCACAGCAGCAUCAGGAUACUGACCACAGCAGCAUCACCACCACAGCAUCAGGAGAACUGAGUUCAGUAGAAUCUGUUCUCACAGCUCUGACUGCUGUUCUGGAACCUUCUGUUCUCACAGCUCUGACUGCUGUUCUGGAACCUUCUGUUCUCACAGCUCUGACUGCUGUUCUGGAACCUUCUGUUCUCACAGCUCUGACUGCUGUUCUGGAACCUUCUGUUCUCACACCUCUGACUGCUGUUCUGGAACCUUCUGUUCUCAC
Long non-coding RNA from Oncorhynchus nerka (sockeye salmon), 2073 nucleotides. RefSeq lists it as uncharacterized. The record is from RefSeq and is a predicted model, not a curated record. NCBI's taxonomy places the organism in Eukaryota, Metazoa, Chordata, Actinopteri, Salmoniformes, Salmonidae. The transcript is spliced from 4 exons.